Molecule: ribosomal RNA, 574 nt
Filed under: uncultured Herbiconiux sp.
Lineage: Bacteria; Bacillati; Actinomycetota; Actinomycetes; Micrococcales; Microbacteriaceae
Description: bacterial SSU rRNA
Rfam family: Bacterial small subunit ribosomal RNA
Source: RNAcentral
GAUUCCUACGGGAGGCAGCAGUGGGGAAUAUUGCACAAUGGGCGCAAGCCUGAUGCAGCAACGCCGCGUGAGGGAUGACGGCCUUCGGGUUGUAAACCUCUUUUAGUAGGGAAGAAGCGAAAGUGACGGUACCUGCAGAAAAAGCACCGGCUAACUACGUGCCAGCAGCCGCGGUAAUACGUAGGGUGCAAGCGUUGUCCGGAAUUAUUGGGCGUAAAGAGCUCGUAGGCGGUUUGUCGCGUCUGCUGUGAAAACUGGAGGCUCAACCUCCAGCCUGCAGUGGGUACGGGCAGACUAGAGUGCGGUAGGGGAGAUUGGAAUUCCUGGUGUAGCGGUGGAAUGCGCAGAUAUCAGGAGGAACACCGAUGGCGAAGGCAGAUCUCUGGGCCGUAACUGACGCUGAGGAGCGAAAGCGUGGGGAGCGAACAGGAUUAGAUACCCUGGUAGUCCACGCCGUAAACGUUGGGAACUAGAUGUGGGGACCAUUCCACGGUCUCCGUGUCGCAGCUAACGCAUUAAGUUCCCCGCCUGGGGAGUACGGCCGCAAGGCUAAAACUCAAAUGAAUUGACGGGG